Molecule: long non-coding RNA, 314 nt
Filed under: Medicago truncatula (barrel medic)
Lineage: Eukaryota; Viridiplantae; Streptophyta; Magnoliopsida; Fabales; Fabaceae
Description: lncRNA gene16495
Source: RNAcentral
UCAAGUGUAAACUAUAGCUAUCAACACAGGUUAUAUCCAACUGCUCACUAAAAGCUUAUAUUAAUUAAAAAUAAAGAAACCCAUCAACUAAACACUAACCAGAGCUUAAUAUUAUACAUGAAAAAAAGGAUUGAAUUAACAGUGGAGUACCUAAUACUAAAUUUUCAGGAAAAAUCAAAACUGACUAAUGAACAAUGAAGGUGUUAGAGACUGCAAUUAAGGGAACCCAUAUUCCGCAAUUAGACGGCUAGAAGCAGACCGCGAUGAAGGCGAAAUUUACAACAAUAGCAUUAUUUUUAACAACAACAAAAUGC